UACGAAGGGGGCUAGCGUUGUUCGGAUUUACUGGGCGUAAAGCGCACGUAGGCGGACUGUUAAGUCGGGGGUGAAAUCCUGGAGCUCAACUUCAGAAUUGCCUUCGAUACUGGCUUUCUAGAGGCUGGAAGAGGUUAGUGGAAUUCCCAGUGUAGAGGUGAAAUUCGUAGAUAUUGGGAAGAACACCAGUGGCGGAGGCGGCUAACUGGUCCAGAUCUGACGCUGAGGUGCGAAAGCGUGGGGAGCAAACAGG
RNAcentral lists this ribosomal RNA (253 nucleotides) under uncultured bacterium. RNAcentral describes it as "partial 16S ribosomal RNA". It matches the Rfam family "Bacterial small subunit ribosomal RNA", at positions 524 to 776 of the family's 1533-position model. The record is from RNAcentral.